This 440-nucleotide ribosomal RNA is filed under the name uncultured Exiguobacterium sp. RNAcentral describes it as "bacterial SSU rRNA". It matches the Rfam family "Bacterial small subunit ribosomal RNA", at positions 358 to 790 of the family's 1533-position model. The record is from RNAcentral. Lineage: Bacteria; Bacillati; Bacillota; Bacilli; Caryophanales.
GGAAUCUUCCACAAUGGACGAAAGUCUGAUGGAGCAACGCCGCGUGAGUGAUGAAGGUUUUCGGAUCGUAAAACUCUGUUGUAAGGGAAGAACAAGUACGAGAGGCAAUGCUCGUACCUUGACGGUACCUUGCGAGAAAGCCACGGCUAACUACGUGCCAGCAGCCGCGGUAAUACGUAGGUGGCAAGCGUUGUCCGGAAUUAUUGGGCGUAAAGCGCGCGCAGGCGGCCUUUUAAGUCUGAUGUGAAAGCCCCCGGCUCAACCGGGGAGGGUCAUUGGAAACUGGAAGGCUUGAGUACAGAAGAGAAGAGUGGAAUUCCAUGUGUAGCGGUGAAAUGCGUAGAGAUGUGGAGGAACACCAGUGGCGAAGGCGACUCUUUGGUCUGUAACUGACGCUGAGGCGCGAAAGCGUGGGGAGCAAACAGGAUUAGAUACCCUGG